CCAUCAUCCCUUAUUGACUUCACUUGCACAAGUAAAGGCCAAGUUAGCUGCUUCCUCUACAUCUUCAGCCUCUUUAAGACAAACACCCAUUGAUAUUUCAGCCGAAGUACUAAGUUAUCAUCGGACCCUAUGCAAGUUGGCCAAACUUUCAUUGGACAAUGUCAUUAGUUCACUGGCUCUGUCCAAAGCUUGGGGAGCCUUGGAUAUAUUACUAAAGACUCCA
This 223-nucleotide long non-coding RNA is filed under the name Elaeis guineensis (African oil palm). RNAcentral describes it as "long non-coding RNA (EGUI_LNC063890)". The record is from RNAcentral. Lineage: Eukaryota; Viridiplantae; Streptophyta; Magnoliopsida; Arecales; Arecaceae.